RNAcentral lists this ribosomal RNA (253 nucleotides) under uncultured bacterium. RNAcentral's name for it is "partial 16S ribosomal RNA". It matches the Rfam family "Bacterial small subunit ribosomal RNA", at positions 524 to 776 of the family's 1533-position model. The record is from RNAcentral.
UACGUAGGGUGCAAGCGUUGUCCGGAAUUAUUGGGCGUAAAGAGCUCGUAGGCGGUCUGUCGCGUCGGAUGUGAAAACCCAGGGCUCAACCCUGGGCCUGCAUUCGAUACGGGCAGACUAGAGUUCGGUAGGGGAGACUGGAAUUCCUGGUGUAGCGGUGAAAUGCGCAGAUAUCAGGAGGAACACCGAUGGCGAAGGCAGGUCUCUGGGCAUUAACUGACGCUGAGGAGCGAAAGCGUGGGUAGCAAACAGG